AGGACGAACGCUGGCGGCGCGCUUAACACAUGCAAGUCGAGCGAGAACCAGGGCUUCGGCCCUGGGGACAGCGGCGAACGGGUGAGUAACACGUGGGUAACCUGCCCUCGGCACCGGAAUAGCCCGGGGAAACCCGGAUUAAUGCUGGAUUAGCCUCACGGAUCCUCGGGUCUGUGAGAAAAGGUAGCUUCGGCUUCCGGCUGAGGAUGGGCCCGCGGCCGAUUAGCUUGUUGGUGAGGUAACGGCUCACCAAGGCGACGAUCGGUAGCUGGUCUGAGAGGACGAUCAGCCACACUGGGACUGAGACACGGCCCAGACUCCUACGGGAGGCAGCAGUGGGAAUCUUGCGCAAUGGGCGAAAGCCUGACGCAGCGACGCCGCGUGCGGGAAGAAGGCCUUCGGGUUGUAAACCGCUUUCGAGGAGGACGAAGCCACUCAGUUAAUAGCCGAGAGGUGACGGUACCUCAGAAGAAGCCCGCUAACUACGUGCCAGCAGCCGCGGU
Molecule: ribosomal RNA, 503 nt
Filed under: uncultured soil bacterium
Lineage: Bacteria
Description: bacterial SSU rRNA
Rfam family: Bacterial small subunit ribosomal RNA
Source: RNAcentral